This 432-nucleotide ribosomal RNA is filed under the name uncultured bacterium. RNAcentral describes it as "bacterial SSU rRNA". It matches the Rfam family "Bacterial small subunit ribosomal RNA", at positions 28 to 507 of the family's 1533-position model. The record is from RNAcentral.
GAUGAACGCUGGCGGCGUGCUUAACACAUGCAAGUCGGACGAACCUUCGGGUUAGUGGCGGACGGGUGAGUAACGCGUGAGAAUCUGCCCUCAGGAGGGGGAUAACGGUUGGAAACGGCCGCUAAUACCCCAUAUGCCGCGAGGUGAAAUGAAUUUCGCCUGAGGAUGAGCUCGCGUCUGAUUAGCUAGUUGGUGUAGGUAAAGGCUUACCAAGGCGACGAUCAGUAGCUGGUCUGAGAGGAUGAUCAGCCACACUGGGACUGAGACACGGCCCAGACUCCUACGGGAGGCAGCAGUGAGGAAUUUUCCGCAAUGGGCGAAAGCCUGACGGAGCAAUACCGCGUGAAGGAUUAAGGCCUAUGGGUUGUAAACUUCUUUUCUCAGAGAAGAAUUUUGACGGUAUCUGAGGAAUAAGCAUCGGCUAACUCUGUG